RNAcentral lists this ribosomal RNA (301 nucleotides) under uncultured bacterium. Its description in RNAcentral is "partial 16S ribosomal RNA". It matches the Rfam family "Bacterial small subunit ribosomal RNA", at positions 509 to 809 of the family's 1533-position model. The record is from RNAcentral.
CAGUAGCCGCGGGAAUACAGAGGGUGCGAGCGUUAAUCGGAUUUACUGGGCGUAAAGCGUGCGUAGGCGGCUUCUUAAGUCGGAUGUGAAAUCCCUGAGCUUAACUUAGGAAUUGCAUUCGAUACUGGGAAGCUAGAGUAUGGGAGAGGAUGGUAGAAUUCCAGGUGUAGCGGUGAAAUGCGUAGAGAUCUGGAGGAAUACCGAUGGCGAAGGCAGCCAUCUGGCCUAAUACUGACGCUGAGGUACGAAAGCAUGUGGAGCAAACAGGAUUAGAUACCCCGGUAGUCCCUGUCUCUUAUAA